GACGAACGCUGGCGGCGUGCUUAACACAUGCAAGUCGAACGGUAAGGCCCUUCGGGGUACACGAGUGGCGAACGGGUGAGUAACACGUGGGUGAUCUGCCCUGCACUUCGGGAUAAGCCUGGGAAACUGGGUCUAAUACCGGAUAGGACCCUGGGAUGCAUGUCCUGGGGUGGAAAGCUUUUGCGGUGUGGGAUGGGCCCGCGGCCUAUGAGCUUGUUGGUGGGGUGAUGGCCUACCAAGGCGACGACGGGUAGCCGGCCUGAGAGGGUGACCGGCCACACUGGGACUGAGAGACGGCCCAGACUCCUACGGGAGGCAGCAGUGGGGAAUAUUGCACAAUGGGCGCAAGCCUGAUGCAGCGACGCCGGGUGAGGGAUGACGGCCUUCGGGUUGUAAACCUCUUUCAGCACCGACGAAGCGCAAGUGACGGUAGGUGCAGAAGAAGGACCGGCCAACUACGUGCCAGCCGCCGCGGUAA
RNAcentral lists this ribosomal RNA (478 nucleotides) under uncultured bacterium. Its description in RNAcentral is "partial 16S ribosomal RNA". It matches the Rfam family "Bacterial small subunit ribosomal RNA", at positions 28 to 523 of the family's 1533-position model. The record is from RNAcentral.